This 326-nucleotide unclassified non-coding RNA is filed under the name Hevea brasiliensis (rubber tree). The record is from RNAcentral. Lineage: Eukaryota; Viridiplantae; Streptophyta; Magnoliopsida; Malpighiales; Euphorbiaceae.
GGAGCAACCAAAGUUGCCCAUCCAAGCACAGUAACCCAUCCAUAACAAAGCAAGCUUCCUAGAAACUCAACAGAACAAGAAAACCCAACUUAGCACCGGUAAAAAGGGGGGUUGUGACAAUGUUCUCCAGCACUCUAAGCCAUCAAGAAGGCUUUCCCUACCAUGGUGUAGAAGCAUUUCCUGGUGGUGCGAAACAACCAAACUCAAGAAUAUCCUCUUCGCUAAACAGAAACCUACCUCAAGACCCAAGAGAUGCAAUAUCAACUAGAGGUCUCUAAUCCACUAUGGGCCACCACCAUUGCUGCUCCAAAUCAGAGAUCUCAAAC